AUUCUGGACUGGAGUGAACUGGCCGAUCAGUCGCACAGCUGAUAUUAGAGUGACGUCAGUAAAACAAAGCCAUGCGCGGUCGAUCGCAGCCGCGAAGUAAACCGAACGGACCGAACCGUCUUGCUAACAAACAUUAGGCGUCCGUGAAACCGUGAGGUACAUUUUAUACAAGAUUUCUUAGGGGAAGAUAAAAUUUGCGUGCGCGAGUACACCCGUCUCGCAUCUUUCUCGCAGACAAUGCCGUUCAUAUCGAAAGAUUGGCGUAGCCCUGGCGAGGAAUGGGUCAAGACCGUUGAAGGUUGGGAAAAGAAGAAAAUCCUCGAGUGCGCCAACAAUAAAACGCUUUCUCUCCUGCUUCGCGGCGAUAAAGAUGCGCUCGACAAAAAGGAAAAGGAUAAAAAGAAAGAAAGCAUCGUCCAGCCGCAUUGCCGCAUCACGCUAAAGUGUACACGCGAGGUCGUACAUACGACGCGUCUGUCGCGUAUGGAUCGAAAACGAAGAAAGGAGAGAGCUAAUCGAAAGACGAAGGAAAAGUGCAGUGAAACGGCGACUUGCGACUUGCGGCUUGCGGCACACGGCUUGCGGAGAUAUGGAAAGAGACCGAGGAAGAAGAUCGCUGGUUUCAACGGAUUGAGCGAUGCGCUGAAAAGGCUUGACUUUUUGUCCGCGGUACACGAUUGUCGUCGUUUCAAUUAUAUCGUACGACUGUUGGAUCUUCUGGUCAGUCACAGAAUGGGUGGACUAAGUGGAUGCGCUCAGCGGGUCCUUUUCAAUAUGCUGGAAGAAGUCGCGUUAGAAGUAUCGUUAUCGCAACAACAAACCGGAAGGCUUCGUCGUCUGAUCGAAAGGGUGCGAGCUUUUAGCGCGGGCUGUUGUUGGGGUGGUAGACCUUUAGGUUCUGUAAUUUUAUGGGAAAAGCACAAAGCCGCCCUCGAAAGAAUCUUGCAAAUUGCCUCGUCUAUCACUAUAACUCAGCCAGACGAAGAACAGCAACCGCAGUGGUCGGAUUUACCAGCCGAAUGUCGUCGAGAAGUACUUCUUCGUCUGAGCGAUCCACGAGAUAUCGAAGCUUCUUCGGAGGCUUGCGAACAUCUCGCCAUUCUCGCUCAAGAACAAAGAAUAUGGCGCGAACUCGCUCAAUAUCAUUUUACUCCACAACAAAUAGCUACCACUAGACAAAACAAUCCUGGGAAAGACUGGAAAACCAUAUUCACUAUUGCUCGAAGAUCGUUUGGUCUGCGAGAAGAAUACGCAGAGAUGAUUCAAUUGUGUCGCAACUGUCGUUGCCUGUUCUGGCGAUCGUUGGGCCAUCCCUGCAUCGCGGACCAAGAUCCAGCGUUUCAGGAGAAAUUAGCAGACGUCGAUCGAGCCUCCCUCCAUGUUCCGAUUCCUCCGCAAACUUUUUUGAAGUUUUUUUCCCUGUGAGAGCUUCGGCGCAACUUUCCUAGCCUCUUAGAAAAUAAGAAAAGCGACAAAGAUGUACGCGCGAAACCCGAUAAACGAACAGUCUAUGGUGGUAUACGCGCACCUCAUCCGAUUGCCAAAGAGUAACCUUUCAAAAAUGUUACUCUUCCUUUAAACAAAAGGUCGUGUCUUCGAAAGAGUAUCUUUAAUGCGGUCAACUUAAAGAUACUCUUCUUAACGCGUAUUACGAUCAAUCAUGAUCGAUAUUCCGGUUCGAAUCGAGUUCCAAAGUUACACAGACUUCUAGAUCCAUUUUAUCCUCUUCGAGAGAUAUCCUGAUCGAACGUACUUGUUUCAGCAACGACGAGCUACGGAUAUUUUUGUGUUCUUUCAAAUGUUGCACGCUAAGGAAUACAGGCUUAAUUUUUAAUAAUAAUUAUAAUAAUAAUAAUAAUAUGAAGAACGCAGAAUUUACGGUGAAUUGAAAUAUUGCCCAGACAAUUUACGUUUCUUGAAAAUGGCAGAACUCACUUUUUGGUCACUGCGAUAUUCGCUUUGCAAAAGCAACUUUAAAUUGUCAUUAUUUUCCUUUCUACAUAUUGUAUUUAAAGUGUAUAAAGGAAAUUGUAUUUUUAUCACGCAACAAAACUGACAUUUAUCGAAGCGUAUCGAGCGUUGACUUUUCACUCGUAUGUUACAUCGAUAAAAUAUAAUAAUUUCUCGCUUUUUACAUUGUAACUGCGAUCAUGAAACGAUCAUAUGUUUCUACUGUAAAAGAUUUAUACAAAUUUUCAUAGCGUCUGCUAUCUUUGUUUCUUCCUUAUUUGGCAGCUAUUCUAGGCCACUUUUUUUUUCUCAUUUAGACAAAUCUUAGUCUUUUCCUUUUUCUUUUUAAUGAUUACAUUUAUUUCAUGCGAUCAUCGAAAUUUCUUUCCAUGUAUGCAUUUUUAUAAAUAUUUCAUCACUUUUUAUAUAUUCCAUACGCAUCUUUUGCGUAUGUAUUUUUCUACUUUGUGAUUCUCGUAUAGCAAGAAAGCAGAAACUGUAACGAAACUUAUUUUUAAAACGGAACAUGUCAAACAAAGUUAUGAUUUGUUGAAAUAUCUCUAAAUUUCAAGACAGAAAGAGAGUGAAAUUAUCUUUUCUUUAAAAAUAUAAGCAAAUUGUACAUUUGUUAAAUAUGCGUUUACGAAAACGAAUUGAAAAAUUGAGAGAGAAAAAAACUGAUGAAACAGCAACAAAAACGGCAGCUGUAGAUUAUACGUGUUAUAAGAAGGAAGAAGCUACAUUGCUUGAUACAUUUAUCGUACCUACUCAUUCGACAUCGAUAUCAUCAAAAUUUUUAAUAUUUCACAAGUAUAUAAAUAAAUUUAGUAAUUGAUUAAGCGAUUAAUUCGGGAUGAUGAAAAUUAUACUGCCAAAAUCGAUUCUGUUGUAUUCAACGAAUCGAAUAAAAAUUCUUUUUUUCUACAUUCUGUUUAAAAUAAGAAACGAUUCUUUUGAUACGUUACUUUUUCUUUUUAACAUUAACGUAAUGUACAUUUUCCAAGUGAAAAUUUAUUACGAUCUGCUGUGUACUCAAUUUUUAGCAACUCAUAAAUUUAAUAGCUUUGUUCACAGAUUUCUUUAAUCUAUGAUCAUGGAUAACUUUAAAGCAACGUUAUUUUGUUUACGCUCACAACUGUAGAAUAAAAUUGUGCAUAAGGCUUCAAAAUAAAAGAUUUCUUUCUA
Molecule: non-coding RNA, 3135 nt
Organism: Osmia lignaria (orchard mason bee)
Lineage: Eukaryota; Metazoa; Arthropoda; Insecta; Hymenoptera; Megachilidae
Source: RefSeq, a predicted model, not a curated record